GUAUCUGAAGCCUGACGAGGAUGAGAACCUCCGGGGGCAAGAGGUUCGACCCGAGCGAAGCGAGAGAACGUUGCGCCAGCAACGGCCCGCAGUGGCAAGUCAUCCUCUGUCACCGGCAG
Molecule: small RNA, 119 nt
Filed under: Salmonella enterica subsp. enterica serovar Infantis
Lineage: Bacteria; Pseudomonadati; Pseudomonadota; Gammaproteobacteria; Enterobacterales; Enterobacteriaceae
Also listed under: 58 other names
Description: RtT sRNA
Rfam family: RtT RNA
About the family: This family represents a bacterial cis-regulatory element known as RtT RNA. The exact function of RtT is unknown although it is thought that it may be involved in changing the cellular response in relation to amino acid starvation.
Source: RNAcentral